This 481-nucleotide ribosomal RNA is filed under the name uncultured bacterium. Its description in RNAcentral is "partial 16S ribosomal RNA". It matches the Rfam family "Bacterial small subunit ribosomal RNA", at positions 28 to 507 of the family's 1533-position model. The record is from RNAcentral.
GAUGAACGCUGGCGGCGUGCCUAACACAUGCAAGUCGAACGGAGAUUACGGACGGAAGUUUUCGGAUGGAAGACUGUAAUUCUUAGUGGCGGACGGGUGAGUAACGCGUGGGCAACCUGCCCUAUACAGGGGGAUAGCAGCUGGAAACGGCUGGUAAGACCGCAUAAGUCGGUUAAAUCGCAUGAUUUGAUCGGGAAAUGAGCAAUCAGGUAUAGGAUGGGCCCGCGUCCGAUUAGCCAGUUGGCAGGGUAAAAGCCUACCAAAGCGACGAUCGGUAGCCGGACUGAGAGGUCGGACGGCCACAUUGGGAAUGAGACACGGCCCAAACUCCUACGGGAGGCAGCAGUGGGGGAUAUUGCACAAUGGAGGAAACUCUGAUGCAGCGACGCCGCGUGAGUGAAGAAGUAUUUCGGUAUGUAAAGCUCUAUCAGCAGGGAAGAUGAUGACGGUACCUGACUAAGAAGCCCCGGCUAACUACGUG